Long non-coding RNA from Esox lucius (northern pike), 431 nucleotides. RefSeq lists it as uncharacterized. Lineage: Eukaryota; Metazoa; Chordata; Actinopteri; Esociformes; Esocidae. The record is from RefSeq and is a predicted model, not a curated record. The transcript has 3 exons.
UGUAGUUUUGUUCCCGGAGGAGGAUGACUGUGUGGCAGUAGUUCCACACCUUUGGCUUCCACAGGGAGUUUGCUACUGGCCACCACACAUCACCAGCAGGAAGUCCUUCAGCCACAACAAGUUUGUCAGAACUUGUUCGCCACCUGAAGACACCUGGAAGGCUGCCCCUUAUAAAGCUCAUCAACCAUGCAGACACGUGAGAGACCAGACAUGUGUAUCGUCAGAAGAGCGAAAAUCGUCCUAGCGUUGGCCCCUACCACCCCAAGGACGCACAUCUACACCACAACACCCUGUAGACUGCAGCCCUGGAGGAUGGAGCAAGCACAGUACUCCAAGGCACCAGAGAAGUACUCCGAGCCACCAUGUGGAGGACUGCUACAUGGGUAUGUGUGGGUUCAUUUACUUAACCCAGAUGCUUAACUUGUUACUAA